CCAGCACCCGCGGUAAUUCCAGCUCCAAUAGCGUAUAUUAAAGUUGUUGCAGUUAAAAAGCUCGUAGUUGGAUUUCUGGCAGGAGCGACCGGUCUCACACUCUGUGUGAGAACUUGUGUUGUCUCUGGCCAUCCUUGGGGAGAUCCUGUUUGGCAUUAAGUUGUCGGGCAGGGGAUACCCAUCGUUUACUGUGAAAAAAUUAGAGUGUUUCAAGCAGGCUUUCGCCCUGAAUAAUUUAGCAUGGAAUAAUAAUUUAGGACUUCGGUUCUAUUUUGUUGGUUUCUAGAACCGAAGUAAUGAUUAAUAGGGACAGUCGGGGGCAUUCGUACUCAACAGUCAGAGGUGAAAUUCUUGGAUUUGUUGGAGACGAACUACUGCGAAAGCAUUUGCCAAGGAUGUUUUCAUUGAUCAAGAACGAAAGU
This 422-nucleotide ribosomal RNA is filed under the name uncultured eukaryote. RNAcentral describes it as "SSU rRNA". It matches the Rfam family "Eukaryotic small subunit ribosomal RNA", at positions 567 to 990 of the family's 1831-position model. The record is from RNAcentral.